CAGGCCUAACACAUGCAAGUCGAACGCUGUGGCAACACAGAGUGGCAGACGGGUGAGUAACACGUGGGAACGUACCCCUUUGUUCGGAAUAACCCUGGGAAACUAGGGCUAAUACCGGAUACGGCCGUGAGGCGAAAGGUUUACCGCUGAGGGAUCGGCCCGCGUCCGAUUAGCUAGUUGGUGUGGUAAUGGCGCACCAAGGCGACGAUCGGUAGCUGGUCUGAGAGGAUGACCAGCCACAUUGGGACUGAGACACGGCCCAAACUCCUACGGGAGGCAGCAGUGGGGAAUAUUGGACAAUGGGCGCAAGCCUGAUCCAGCCAUGCCGCGUGAGUGAUGACGGCCUUAGGGUUGUAAAGCUCUUUUACCUGGGAAGAUAAUGACGGUACCAGGAGAAUAAGCCCCGGCUAACUUCGUGCCAGCAGCCGCGGUAAU
Molecule: ribosomal RNA, 435 nt
Filed under: uncultured bacterium
Lineage: Bacteria
Description: bacterial SSU rRNA
Rfam family: Bacterial small subunit ribosomal RNA
Source: RNAcentral